This 228-nucleotide ribosomal RNA is filed under the name uncultured bacterium. RNAcentral describes it as "partial 16S ribosomal RNA". It matches the Rfam family "Bacterial small subunit ribosomal RNA", at positions 568 to 795 of the family's 1533-position model. The record is from RNAcentral.
UACGCAGGCGGAAAAUUAAGUCAGUGGUGAAAUCCUACAGCUUAACUGUAGAACUGUCAUUGAUACUGGUUUUCUUGAAUAUAGUUGAGGUAGGCGGAAUGUGUAAUGUAGCGGUGAAAUGCUUAGAUAUUACACAGAACACCGAUUGCGAAGGCAGCUUACUAAGCUAUGAUUGACGCUGAGGUACGAAAGCGUGGGGAGCGAACAGGAUUAGAUACCCUGGUAGUC